RNAcentral lists this ribosomal RNA (253 nucleotides) under uncultured bacterium. Its description in RNAcentral is "partial 16S ribosomal RNA". It matches the Rfam family "Bacterial small subunit ribosomal RNA", at positions 524 to 776 of the family's 1533-position model. The record is from RNAcentral.
GACGAGGGAUCCUAGCGUUGUUCGGAAUUAUUGGGCGUAAAGCGGGUGUAGGUGGCUUCUUAAGUCGGGUGUGAAAGCCCAGGGCUCAACCCUGGAAGUGCACUCGAUACUGGGAAGCUUGAAUGUGGGAGAGGAUAGUGGAAUUCCAGGUGUAGUGGUGAAAUACGUAGAUAUCUGGAGGAACACCGGAGGCGAAGGCGGCUAUCUGGCCCAACAUUGACACUGAGACCCGAAAGCGUGGGGAUCAAACAGG